UACAGAGGUCUCAACCGUUGUUCGGAUUUAUUGGGUUUAAAGGGUGCGUAGGCGGCCCUGUAAGUCAGUGGUGAAAUACUCCAGCUUAACUGGAGGGGUGCCAUUGAUACUGCAGGGCUUGAGUGGAGUCGAGGUAGGCGGAAUUGACGGUGUAGCGGUGAAAUGCUUAGAUAUCGUCAAGAACACCGAUAGUGUAGACAGCUUACUAGGCUUCAACUGACGCUGAGGCACGAAAGUGUGGGGAUCAAACAGG
This 253-nucleotide ribosomal RNA is filed under the name uncultured bacterium. RNAcentral's name for it is "partial 16S ribosomal RNA". It matches the Rfam family "Bacterial small subunit ribosomal RNA", at positions 524 to 776 of the family's 1533-position model. The record is from RNAcentral.